UCGAGAAUCUUCGGCAAUGAGCGCAAGCUUGACCGAGCGACGCCGCGUGCGGGAUGAAGGCCCUCGGGUUGUAAACCGCGAAAGAAGGGAGGAAAUCGCUGGGGGUUCUCCCCCAGUGUUGACCUAUCUUCAGUAAGGACGGGCUAAGUUCGUGCCAGCAGCCGCGGUAAUACGAACCGUCCAAACGUUAUUCGGAUUUAUUGGGCUUAAAGGGUACGUAGGCGGCCCUGUUAGUCGGGUGUGAAAGCCCUCGGCUCAACCGAGGAACUGCGCCCGAUACUGCAGGGCUUGAGGGAGACAGAGGUAAGCGGAACUGAUGGUGGAGCGGUGAAAUGCGUUGAUAUCAUCAGGAACACCAGUGGCGAAAGCGGCUUACUGGGUCUCUUCUGACGCUGAGGUACGAAAGCUAGGGGAGCGAAGGGGAUUAGAUACCCCCGUAGUCCUAGCCGUAAACGUUGAGCACUAGGCGGGAGGAGGUUCGCCUCCUCCGGCCGUAGCGAAAGCGUUAAGUGCUCCGCCUGGGAG
RNAcentral lists this ribosomal RNA (525 nucleotides) under uncultured Planctomycetota bacterium. RNAcentral describes it as "bacterial SSU rRNA". It matches the Rfam family "Bacterial small subunit ribosomal RNA", at positions 355 to 879 of the family's 1533-position model. Lineage: Bacteria; Pseudomonadati; Planctomycetota. The record is from RNAcentral.